GGGCCCGUAGCUCAGCCAGGAAGAGCGGUGGGCUUUUAACUGCAGUCCGUGCAUAUAGGAAGCCACCCAUAGGUCCCGGGUCCGAAUCCCGGCGGGCCCG
This 100-nucleotide transfer RNA is filed under the name Candidatus Acidianus copahuensis. It matches the Rfam family "tRNA". Rfam says of the family: Transfer RNA (tRNA) molecules are approximately 80 nucleotides in length. Their secondary structure includes four short double-helical elements and three loops (D, anti-codon, and T loops). Lineage: Archaea; Thermoproteati; Thermoproteota; Thermoprotei; Sulfolobales; Sulfolobaceae. The record is from Rfam by way of RNAcentral.